RNAcentral lists this ribosomal RNA (253 nucleotides) under uncultured bacterium. RNAcentral's name for it is "partial 16S ribosomal RNA". It matches the Rfam family "Bacterial small subunit ribosomal RNA", at positions 524 to 776 of the family's 1533-position model. The record is from RNAcentral.
UACAGAGGGGGCAAGCGUUGUUCGGAAUUACUGGGCGUAAAGGGCGCGUAGGCGGCCUUCUAAGUCGAACGUGAAAUCCCCGGGCUCAACCCGGGAACUGCGUCCGAUACUGUAAGGCUUGAAUCCGGGAGAGGGAUGUGGAAUUCCAGGUGUAGCGGUGAAAUGCGUAGAUAUCUGGAAGAACACCGGUGGCGAAGGCGGCCUUCUGGACGAUGACUGACGCUGAGACGCGAAAGCGUGGGGAGCAAACAGG